This 559-nucleotide ribosomal RNA is filed under the name Empedobacter falsenii. RNAcentral describes it as "bacterial SSU rRNA". It matches the Rfam family "Bacterial small subunit ribosomal RNA", at positions 116 to 673 of the family's 1533-position model. Lineage: Bacteria; Pseudomonadati; Bacteroidota; Flavobacteriia; Flavobacteriales; Weeksellaceae. The record is from RNAcentral.
CGUAUGCAACCUACCUUAUACAGGGGAAUAGCCCGAAGAAAUUCGGAUUAAUGCUCCAUGGUUUAUCGAUAUGGCAUCGUAUUGAUAAUAAAGAUUUAUCGGUAUAAGAUGGGCAUGCGUAUCAUUAGCUAGUUGGUGUGGUAACGGCAUACCAAGGCAACGAUGAUUAGGGGUCCUGAGAGGGAGAUCCCCCACACUGGUACUGAGACACGGACCAGACUCCUACGGGAGGCAGCAGUGAGGAAUAUUGGUCAAUGGAGGCAACUCUGAACCAGCCAUGCCGCGUGCAGGAUGACGGUCCUAUGGAUUGUAAACUGCUUUUGUACAGGAAGAAACCUCCCUACGAGUAGGGACUUGACGGUACUGUAAGAAUAAGGAUCGGCUAACUCCGUGCCAGCAGCCGCGGUAAUACGGAGGAUCCGAGCGUUAUCCGGAAUUAUUGGGUUUAAAGGGUUCGUAGGCGGUCAGAUAAGUCAGUGGUGAAAUUUCCUAGCUUAACUAGGACACGGCCAUUGAUACUGUUUGACUUGAAUAGUAUGGAAGUAACUAGAAUAUGUAG